Molecule: ribosomal RNA, 491 nt
Filed under: uncultured soil bacterium
Lineage: Bacteria
Description: bacterial SSU rRNA
Rfam family: Bacterial small subunit ribosomal RNA
Source: RNAcentral
AGAUUGAACGCUGGCGGCAGGCCUAACACAUGCAAGUCGAGCGGUAGAGAGGUGCUUGCAUCUCUUGAGAGCGGCGGACGGGUGAGUAAUGCCUAGGAAUCUGCCUAGUGGUGGGGGAUAACGUUCGGAAACGGACGCUAAUACCGCAUACGUCCUACGGGAGAAAGCGGGGGACCUUCGGGCCUCGCGCCAUUAGAUGAGCCUAGGUCGGAUUAGCUAGUUGGUGAGGUAAUGGCUCACCAAGGCGACGAUCCGUAACUGGUCUGAGAGGAUGAUCAGUCACACUGGAACUGAGACACGGUCCAGACUCCUACGGGAGGCAGCAGUGGGAAUAUUGGACAAUGGGCGAAAGCCUGAUCCAGCCAUGCCGCGUGUGUGAAGAAGGUCUUCGGAUUGUAAAGCACUUUAAGUGGUAGGAAGGUUGUAACUUAAUACGCUGCAACUUUGACGUUACCGACAGAAUAAGCACGCUAACUUCGUGCCAGCAGCCG